Molecule: long non-coding RNA, 230 nt
Organism: Sinocyclocheilus grahami
Lineage: Eukaryota; Metazoa; Chordata; Actinopteri; Cypriniformes; Cyprinidae
Exons: 3
Source: RefSeq, a predicted model, not a curated record
GCACAAGAAAUUCACGUGAGUGUCGUUCAGUUUUGAAUUCACUGGAAAAUCAUACUAAGACUGAAUACACCACUCUUACCUUCACCUGCAUCUCACACAGCAAGAGGACACAGGUCUCGUUCAGUUUUCAUCUCCAUUCAGAAUCUUAUAGAUUUAUGCUGUCUUAAGUUUUCCUGUCUUCAAGUUUCCUGCCACUGUUUUGGAUAUUUUGGAUAUUGCACCUACGACGU